This is a non-coding RNA of Pelobates cultripes (western spadefoot toad), 4785 nucleotides long. The record is from the annotation of a GenBank genome assembly. Lineage: Eukaryota; Metazoa; Chordata; Amphibia; Anura; Pelobatidae.
CUUAAACACAACCAGAAACACACAACACAUGCCUUACACACAAACACACACUGCUUUCUAUCCCUUACACAAAAACACACUGCAUCACCUAUACAAACUGGUAUCCCUAUACACUACAUUCCAUAAGCCCACACUUUAGAUCCUCUACACUAACGCAUCCCCUACACACUCCACUCCCUGUGAGCAAACUCAUGGGUGGAACAUGUAGGUGGACUUAUGGGUGGACUCACAGACCUUGAACUGUGCAAGCGGCCCCCCAAAAAUGGAGCUGCUUCCCGUUCCCCCAAAACAUUGACUUUUGUGACCACAGUUACAAGCAACCACCAGAGAUCCUGUUCUACACCAGACCAGUGGAGCCAGACUGCAGCCAGAGCCCAUCACCAUCCUCAUCUGGUUGUAAGUAUACAAUCCAGUAUAUUACUCAUUGAACUAAUCUCUAAUUUACAUUAAAGGGACACUAUAGUCCCCAGAACCACUGCAGCUUAAUGAAGUGGUUCUGGUGUCUAUAGCCGGUCCCUGCAGACUUUUUAAUGUAAACACACACUGUGUGCAGCACUGGCAUUAGUUUAUAUGGCAGGUCAUAUGGGUGGGGCAUUGUGAUGUCACAUGAGGGGUGGGGGGACGGCAAAUUUUUAUCCUUGCACCGGCCCUGGUUUCAUGUGAAAUCAUCCAUGGUCUCAACGUUCAGAGGUGUAUUUCUUAACUGUGAAGGAAUAGAAUGACUUCUGGCAAAGGUAAAAUCCAUAAAAUGUCCGGCUGCCCCUAAGUUUAACAAUGCUACAGUAUUUAGUUAAUUCUUCUCUCAGAUUAGGAAAUGGGAAUAUGGAACCUGUGAUCUUUGUCUUUAUACAUGCAGGACAUAGUAGAAACACCCAAAGCCUGUCAUCCAGCAGAACUUAGAUGCGGGAGGUUUCAGGCCUACAAGGAUAAGUUCAGCGAGAAUAACUUGUUUCUGCAGUACAUACAUAACCUCUCUUGUCCUCUGUAUAGUUUCUCUGCUUUGGUUAACCUGGAUACCACUAAGUGCAUCGGUUCAGGCAGUGCUAAGGCCAUAGAGUCUGCAGGGUUGCAUGAUAGUGCUAAUCUGCUGUAACCUAUUCUAGGUUUGAGACAGAUAAGAUCUUUCAAGAAGAUAUCUGGGGGCAACCUCAUCCAGAAUACUGUCUGAAAGGCCAUGUAGGAAGACAUCCACAAAUGCCGGAUUAUUCCAUCUUACUUCUGCUACUAAAGAUAUGAAUUCUAAGGCAUGAUCAACUAAGGAUUUAAUGCGAAGAAGUGAUCUGGCAGCGUUUGCCUUUCUACCAGGAAGAUCAAAUGUCCUCCUAAAAUUAUUGCUAAAAGCAUCACAAUUGUAGACCAGAGGGUUUCAUUCUCCCAUAAGGAAUUAGCCAAAAUCAACACUUUAUCAAAUCGAUAUGGUAAAUCCUAUUUUGACUCUGUGGGACAGGCCCUAAGAUGUAACUCAAAAACUUUACUUAUCUGGUUUACAAAAACCACAAAACGUAUCAGGUGCUGCAACAUAGUGUGGAGGUGAAGUCAUGUGUGAAGUGGAUCUAUAAGGGGAUACUUCUAACCCAGUUGAUACAGGAUUGCUGAACGUACCAAAGUCAAAGGCUGCAAGGCAAGGGCAAUCUGGUCCAAAGGAUGGUCCAUAUUCUCAAAUCAGGUAUCAUACGAUGCCCCUUGGGGGCUUAUAAUAGCUUCAUAUGGCCCAACAUGUAGUGUGUAAGUAAUAAUCGGAAAAUAAACGUAUACAGGACCUUAAAGUAUGGCCAAAGACAAGCCGCAGAAGCCAGAAAUCAGUCAAGGAUUAUAGUCAGUACAGCUGACGUCAAUAAACCAGAAAUACACAGAGAAUUAUAAUGUGCUGUGGAGAGGAGAGGGACUAUGGAAAAGGUCCAACUCUAGAAAAAAAGAAAAAGGACAAAACCAGGGGGGAAAAAAACCAAAACAAAUAUAAUCUUACAAAUAAAUUAAAAAAUCCACCACAGUGGAGUGUUAUAAAGCAUUGAAUACUUAGUGCCACCACUGUGAUUUGCUUGAUGUAGCUACAGAAAAUGACAAUUUAUAUGUUGCACUAACUAGAUUGUCCUGGAAGUUGAAUCCAGAAAAAAGGCUCCGGGUGCAGAUACCUGGCGGGACCCAGUUAAGUGGGUACACUAUUCUAAAAUACUAUGACAAAUAUACAGGGAGGAUAACAGAGCAGUCCAAGUAAUAUAACAUGCUGUAGUGGUUAUAUUGUUUGGAUUGUUUUUUUUAAUAAGUGUCUUAUAUAAAAAAAAACAACAGAGAAAGAACUCCUAGGUGCACAACCUAAUUAAAUGUGAUCCGCACACCUAGGUAGACGUGUAUUAAUGUAGUAUCCUAGUUAGGGAUAGGUGAACGUUGUGUGACAAAGAGAGCUCAGUGAAAAGGGCUCCUGUUACAAUCGACCACUGUCAAAUUUUACUCAACCUUCCGAGGUCAAUAACUGGAAUACCAAUAGGUUGGUUAAAAGUAAAAUAAAAACUUUGAAAUCUCAGGACAUACUUGCACACUAAGAAAUUAGAGGAAUGCUAAAUUUAUCUUUCCCGGAUAAAUACUUUUAUAUUUUUUGGAAAAAUAAACAAAUUAUCGCCCAUGUCCUUAACUGAAAAACCCUAACUUUGUACAUUAGUACAGUUUAAAGCGGUGCCCAUCGAACGCUUACACAAUGACAGUUGGCACAGUCCUGAACCUUGCUGGCAAUCUAUCCACUAACCAACAGCAGAGAAACUGGUCACACAGUUGUCAGCAGUUUUCAUAAAAAACAGUAGUCCGCUCUAGGUUAAUUUUAAAAAAGAGGUAAGAGGGGACGUGGUGUGGGGUGGUGGUGGUGUGUGUGUUUUUUGAUUUUUCACUAAAGUUUGAUUGUUUGGAGUUACCCUUUAAUGGACAUUCCGGACACCAUAACAACGGUACCUCAAUGGAGUUGUUACAGUGCUAGUAGGCACCAGGCACUACGUUAAACUGUUAACAAAUGGCUUAACUCCAAAGUCUGCAAGCUGAUGUCCAAUUGCUCUACCCCUGUACUUCCUCUGAAUGUCUGAGGCUUUAAAUCAGAAAGCCUUGCAGUGGAUGCGGUUAUGCUAAGAGCAUUAGCUCCCAAUUCAGAAAAAGUGAGUGAAAGAUACACUCUCAGUCUAUCAGUGAAACCUGGUCCGAGGCUUCCUGAUUGUAACAUCGAACAUGGAGAGGCAGUGAAAUUACAUGCAAUUAGACAUUGACUUGCAGACUUAGGGGUUAAGCCACUUGAUAAUGGUUUAGUCUGGGGCUUAUUUGCAAAGAUGUUGUUAUGGUUCCUGGAUUGGUAAAAAAAAAAAUGUAAUUAAAAAAAAUCUACGGAUGACAAGGGUAUAAAGAAAAAUCAGGUGGAUCUGUCCAUUUAAAUGUCACAUUACUCAGUUCACACUAACAUUGCAUUUUCUUUCAUUCACAAACUAGAUUAGUCCCUGACAUUUACUCUGAGUGUACAAUAAUCCAGAUUUAAAAAGGGAGUAUCUGGGAGUGAUGUUAACCCUUUGAUGUGUCACAGGGACAUCCAUUACAAUAUUAAUGCUUGCUUUCUUUCCCACACAGGCUAAUCACUGCUUAAUUAAAGCACAUUGUAGGAGAGGCUCAGAAGAGAAUUGGAUCUACCUUGUGCUAUCUGGGAAUUACUCCAUAUUCGCAGCUUGUAAGAGUCACUGCAAAGUUUUCUGGGAGCCAUGACCACACAACACGCCACUUAAAUGCUCCUGACAGAGUAAAUGACAUCUGAUCAGCACAUUGAGAAAGUAGUUUCGAAGAUGGACCUUAGAACAUUUUCUUCAUUGGUGCAUAUGCAUUUAUGUGAAUUAGAAAUCCUAUUUAAUGCACCUUGUGGCAAACCUAGCCACUUCAGUAUAUCAAAGACUGGGUCCAUGUGUUAAUUUUAUACUCCAAAAGACUGAGGGCAUUCGUAUGCUAGUUUCACGAACAAAUGUGGAAUAUACUGUUCGUGAAACGAAUGAACAACCGAACGAGAGACCACACAGGGGAGUCGUGUGUCUCCAAUUAACAAACUGACAACAUUUUUAACCGCAGAACAUUAAUGGUUUUAUGUGCGGUCGCCACACGUGGCGGCGGCCAUCUUUGCUUAUGAACGCCCAGCGGUGUUUGGUAUUUGAGUGCCUGGAACUAAAAUCAGCUACUCGACUUUGCGAACACUGCUGGACUUCCAUGCCGUUCGUAUGAUUAUAUCCAUUCGUAAAAAUAGAGCGGCGUUUGAUGGAUUAAACUCCACGAACCCUAUUCAAACAGUCAGCAUCUAACUAUGUAAUUUCAAUGGGUGUUCAUAUGAACCUCUUCAUUCGAAUGGCUUUCCUAUUCUAACGAAUGGAUCUAAGCGGUAUUUCGCCAGAUGGUGCGCUCAGAUCCCAGCCAUUCAAUGAAGGGUCAUUCGGCCAAUUCAGUGUAAAAUUGUACAAGUUAUGGAUUUUUAUGUUAAAUGUUAUAUUUUUCUGUACGGAGAGAAUGUAAUUAACAGUAUACUCUUACGCAAUUAUCUCUCCAGUACAGAAAAGCAUGAUGGGAAAUAACAUUGCAGGUUAAGUUUUCCCACAGAGGCCACCAGGGGAAAACCCCUUGCAUGGGGACUUGUAUAUAAACGGUUGCAUUGGAAUGAAAGCUCAGUUGACUCCAAAACUAUGUGUUGUCUACUAUUUGGGAAAAAGGGAUUGUAUUUACGCUGCAAAAUUAAAGUGCGCUGUGCCUUUAAGACUCAAAACAGUGAAAAUAAUUUGUGCA